RNAcentral lists this ribosomal RNA (301 nucleotides) under uncultured bacterium. RNAcentral's name for it is "partial 16S ribosomal RNA". It matches the Rfam family "Bacterial small subunit ribosomal RNA", at positions 509 to 807 of the family's 1533-position model. The record is from RNAcentral.
CAGUCGCCGCGGUAAUACGGAGGGGGCUAGCGUUGUUCGGAAUUACUGGGCGUAAAGCGCACGUAGGCGGCUUGGUAAGUUAGAGGUGAAAGCCUGGAGCUCAACUCCAGAAUUGCCCUUAAGACUGCCGAGCUAGCAGGUGAGAGAGGUAAGUGGAAUUCCGAGUGUAGAGGUGAAAUUCGUAGAUAUUCGGAAGAACACCAGUGGCGAAGGCGGCUUACUGGCUCAUACUGGACGCUGAGGUGCGAAAGCGUGGGGAGCAAACAGGAUUAGAUACCCGUGUAGUCCCUGUCUCUUAUAC